CCUUCGGGGUUGUAAACCGCUUUUGUUCAGGGAAGAAAACGUUCUCCGAGUUAAUACCUUGGGAUGAUGACGGUACCUGAAGAAUAAGCACCCGGCUAACUACGUGU
RNAcentral lists this ribosomal RNA (107 nucleotides) under uncultured bacterium. RNAcentral's name for it is "partial 16S ribosomal RNA". The record is from RNAcentral.